GAUGAACGCUGGCGGCGUGCCUAAUACAUGCAAGUCGAGCGAACAGAUGAGGAGCUUGCUCCUCUGACGUUAGCGGCGGACGGGUGAGUAACACGUGGAUAACCUACCUAUAAGACUGGGAUAACUUCGGGAAACCGGAGCUAAUACCGGAUAAUAUAUUGAACCGCAUGGUUCAUUAGUGAAAGACGGUUUUGCUGUCACUUAUAGAUGGAUCCGCGCCGCAUUAGCUAGUUGGUAAGGUAACGGCUUACCAAGGCAACGAUGCGUAGCCGACCUGAGAGGGUGAUCGGCCACACUGGAACUGAGAUACGGUCCAGACUCCUACGGGAGGCAGCAGUAGGGAAUCUUCCGCAAUGGGCGAAAGCCUGACGGAGCAACGCCGCGUGAGUGAUGAAGGUCUUCGGAUCGUAAAACUCUGUUAUUAGGGAAGAACAAAUGUGUAAGUAACUAUGCACGUCUUGACGGUACCUAAUCAGAAAGCCACGGCUAACUACGUG
Molecule: ribosomal RNA, 497 nt
Filed under: uncultured bacterium
Lineage: Bacteria
Description: partial 16S ribosomal RNA
Rfam family: Bacterial small subunit ribosomal RNA
Source: RNAcentral